UACAGAGGUCUCAAGCGUUGUUCGGAUUCAUUGGGCGUAAAGGGUGCGUAGGUGGCAAGGUAAGUCGGGUGUGAAAUCCCGGGGCUCAACCCUGGAACUGCACUCGAUACUGCCAUGCUCGAGUACUGGAGAGGAGACUGGAAUUUACGGCGUAGCAGUGAAAUGCGUAGAUAUCGUAAGGAAGACCAGUGGCGAAGGCGAGUCUCUGGACAGUUACUGACACUGAGGCACGAAGGCCAGGGGAGCAAACGGG
This 253-nucleotide ribosomal RNA is filed under the name uncultured bacterium. Its description in RNAcentral is "partial 16S ribosomal RNA". It matches the Rfam family "Bacterial small subunit ribosomal RNA", at positions 524 to 776 of the family's 1533-position model. The record is from RNAcentral.